AGACUGUUGUUGUUGAUAAAUUAAAAUGAAUAAUAAGAAAGAAAAACAAACAAAGAGACACCAAGAUUAUCAAACCACGAGACACCAAGAAUUUUUACGUGGAAAACCCUCUAAAACUAAGAGGUAAAAAACCACGGGACGAUCUCCGAAAAAAUCCACUAGAAUAAUAUGAGAGAAUACAAAGAUAUCUUAAUUUGAGUAC
This 202-nucleotide long non-coding RNA is filed under the name Panax ginseng (ginseng). RNAcentral's name for it is "long non-coding RNA (PGIN_LNC009325)". The record is from RNAcentral. Lineage: Eukaryota; Viridiplantae; Streptophyta; Magnoliopsida; Apiales; Araliaceae.